This 468-nucleotide ribosomal RNA is filed under the name uncultured bacterium. Its description in RNAcentral is "partial 16S ribosomal RNA". It matches the Rfam family "Bacterial small subunit ribosomal RNA", at positions 28 to 507 of the family's 1533-position model. The record is from RNAcentral.
GACGAACGCUGGCGGCGUGCUUAACACAUGCAAGUCGAACGGAAAGGCCCUGCUUUUGUGGGGUGCUCGAGUGGCGAACGGGUGAGUAACACGUGAGUAACCUGCCCUUGACUUUGGGAUAACUUCAGGAAACUGGGGCUAAUACCGGAUAGGAGCUCCUGCUGCAUGGUGGGGGUUGGAAAGUUUCGGCGGUUGGGGAUGGACUCGCGGCUUAUCAGCUUGUGGGUGGGGUAGUGGCUUACCAAGGCUUUGACGGGUAGCCGGCCUGAGAGGGUGACCGUCCACAUUGGGACUGAGAUACGGCCCAGACUCCUACGGGUGGCAGCAGUGGGGAAUAUUGCACAAUGGGCGGAAGCCUGAUGCAGCAACGCCGCGUGCGGGAUGACGGCCUUCGGGUUGUAAACCGCUUUCGCCUGUGACGAAGCGUGAGUGACGGUAAUGGGUAAAGAAGCACCGGCUAACUACGUG